AAUCACACAAGUCCUUAAAAGCUGAGAACUUCCUCCUGCUGGGGACAGGACAGAUGAGGCAGAAGGGGAAGUUAGGGAGGUUUGAAGAGUGAGAAGAACUUCUGCAGUGGCUGACUUGGAAGAUGAAGGAGGCUAUGAACCAGGGAAUGGGGGCAGCCUCUAGAGGCUGAGAACCUGCUGACGCCCAGCCACAACCACUAAGGAAAUGAAGACUUCAAUUCCACAACUGCAUGCAACUAAAUUCAGCCAACAACCUGAAUAAGUCUAAAAGAGGCUUCUCCAGAGCCUCCGGAUAAGAGGCCAGGCUGGCGACACCUUGAUUUUGACCUUGUGAGACCUAGAGCAGAGAAACCAGCCAAGACUACUCAGACUUCUGAUCUACAAAACUGUGAGACUGUAAAUUUAUGUUGUAUUAAGCCACUAAUUGUGUGGGAAUUUGUUACAGGAGCAAUAGAAAAUGAAUACACCUUCUGAUGUAGUUUAAUCAGUUGACAUUAGGGGUGACACCAAGAUGUGCUACACCGAACCCGACUUCUGCAUGUUUAAGACAAGAUGAAGGUCAAAAAUUUACAUCAGGGACCUGAAUGUGUAGCAUAUACAACCGAGUGUUGAAAGAAGACAAAAUUAUUUUCAUCAUGAAGAAUAUGUGCUCAGUAAGAAUCAGAAUGUUCAAUUGUGUGAAGGUGGGAGAUGGGAAGAUUGGUAUUAUGGCCUUGGAUCCAGAAAUCAGUCUUCCACUAUGGGAAAUGGGAAUUUAAAGAUGAUCAGAAGACAGUUGGGAGCAGAGUGAGAAUAAGAACCCUCAACUGCUGUCUCACCUUUCAGAUCACAAAGAAGUUUUUUACAAUGAGCAGAACACUCAACCUGAAAGCAGAAUGGAUUGUCACUGCAGUGUGGCAGUGGAAUGGUGCUUGAUGUUGGCAAAGGAAACAUGUACUUCUAGACUGGACAGUUUUCCCUUAGUUUACAGUUUCCAAAUAGAGACAUCACUUUAAAAUAACAUGGAGAACAUACAUGGAUGUACUGAAUGAAGAAUAAAGUCUGUGUUGCAGUCCUGGCUCCAUCUACUUUUACAAAUAUGGCUUUGGACAAAUCACCUAACUUUUACUUUUGAGAAUUUAAACUUAUCAUGUAUAAAAUGAUAUUGCUAAUAUGUUUGCUGCCUACCCCAUUGGUUUUUGUGAGUAAUAAAUGAUAAUGCUAAGAAAAAGG
Pongo pygmaeus (Bornean orangutan) is the source of this 1212-nucleotide long non-coding RNA. RefSeq lists it as uncharacterized. Lineage: Eukaryota; Metazoa; Chordata; Mammalia; Primates; Hominidae. The record is from RefSeq and is a predicted model, not a curated record. The transcript is spliced from 4 exons.